CGGUGUGACAAAUGGCAUGUGGAACUUAUUCCCGCUGAAGCAGUGUUCCCGGUGGAACGCUUUGAGUGUAACCCUGUUCCCAGGCCUGUGUGUGCGUUUGUUGCUGUGACAACCCCAAAUGACGGAUUGGCAACAGGUGUGGGGGAUUUACUCAGAGAGUUUGCGUGAGGCCUCAUCAACAGUGGAGAGUAUAAAAAGCAAGAGAGAGAGGUGGUCGGGGUGGUUUUUCUCCCUUGUGAAAAGUCGUUUUAUUGGGUGGUAAUAGUUACUGGAGGAUGGGUGAAUGAAGAGGAAAGUGUUGCUUUGAGGGAUUCGAGGACAACAGAAGGAGAGUGAAAUACCCUGUUUGCAUUGGAGAGGAGCUAAAAAAACAUCUCAGAACAUCCUCAGUGGCAGUGAGGAUCGCGCCCCCUUCCCCUCGGACAGAAACCCGAACGAGAAGAGAUGCCCUGUUGAAAUAUUUACUAUCUGCCUCAGAAAAGCCCUGUGCAACCUGUUGACUUCGAGUCUGCUGUAUCCCUGCCAUUCAACUGUAUUGUGAGAAGUGUUUGUUCCUUCCAACGCAUGUGAACUGUAUACUUUGUCUGGAGCAUUCAUUCUGUCUGUCUCAGUAGAAAGCCUGCUGACGUCGAGUUUGCUGCAUCCCUGGAAUACCCACCUGUGCUGAGAGAAGCGACUGUUCCUCUGUCACGAAUCUGAGGCUGGCUUGCUCUGUCUGGAAUACCCAUUCUGUCUGUGUCAGAAGAAGCCCCGUUCAGCCCGUUGACUCCGAGUCCACUGUAUCCCUGCCAUUCAUCUGUAUUGUGAGAAGUGUUCGUUCCUUCCAACGCAUGUGAACUGUAUACUUUGUCUGAAGCAUUCAUUCUGUCUGUCUCAGUAGAAACCCUGCACAGCCUGUUGACUUUGAGUUUGUUGCAUCCUUGUGGCCCACCUGUGCUGAGAGAGGUGACUGUCCUUUGUCACGAACGUGAGGUUGGCACGCUUUGUCUGGAAUAUCCACUCUGACGGUGUCAGGAGAAGCCACCUUACUGUAAGACCAUGCACCUGCCGUAUACAUACUCGACUGAUUUCAUUCACCUCAAGUUCCGUACCUGUGGAAGAAGGAAGGAAGGCUGGAAUUACGUACUUACCGGAGGAGACUUACCGGACCCCUCACUUGCCAAACACAUCCCCACUUCAAGGCUGUGUAUCUGCCGUGUACGGACCUGACCGAUAUCCAUCCGUCCCAAAUUCUGCAUCUGUGAAAAAGGGAAGGAAGGUUGGAAGUAUUUAAUUAUCAGAGGAGACUUACCAAACUGCUGGCUUGCCGAUCGUAUCCCCACCUGUGAAAUACCUACUUGACCACCCAUCUGUCCAUCUAUUGCCCGCACAGAGGAAGAGGGCGGGAGAGUCCCCGGACGCUGCACUGUUCACCUUCAAUCCCUGAGGGCAACAAAGAAAA
Long non-coding RNA from Cyprinus carpio (common carp), 1441 nucleotides. RefSeq lists it as uncharacterized. The transcript is spliced from 3 exons. Lineage: Eukaryota; Metazoa; Chordata; Actinopteri; Cypriniformes; Cyprinidae. The record is from RefSeq and is a predicted model, not a curated record.